RNAcentral lists this ribosomal RNA (486 nucleotides) under uncultured bacterium. Its description in RNAcentral is "partial 16S ribosomal RNA". It matches the Rfam family "Bacterial small subunit ribosomal RNA", at positions 30 to 507 of the family's 1533-position model. The record is from RNAcentral.
AUUGAACGCUGGCGGCAUGCCUUACACAUGCAAGUCGAACGGCAGCACGGGUGCUUGCACCUGGUGGCGAGUGGCGAACGGGUGAGUAAUACAUCGGAACAUGUCCUGUAGUGGGGGAUAGCCCGGCGAAAGCCGGAUUAAUACCGCAUACGAUCUACGGAUGAAAGCGGGGGACCUUCGGGCCUCGCGCUAUAGGGUUGGCCGAUGGCUGAUUAGCUAGUUGGUGGGGUAAAGGCCUACCAAGGCGACGAUCAGUAGCUGGUCUGAGAGGACGACCAGCCACACUGGGACUGAGACACGGACCAGACUCCUACGGGAGGCAGCAGUGGGGAAUUUUGGACAAUGGGCGAAAGCCUGAUCCAGCAAUGCCGCGUGUGUGAAGAAGGCCUUCGGGUUGUAAAGCACUUUUGUCCGGAAAGAAAUCCUUGGCUCUAAUACAGCCGGGGGAUGACGGUACCGGAAGAAUAAGCACCGGCUAACUACGUG